AAGGUGGGGAUGAUGUCAAGUCAGCAUGGCCUUUAUAUCCCUGGGCUACACACACGCUACAAUGGCCAACACAAUAGGUUGCUAAGCCGCGAGGUGGCGCCAAUCCAUAAAGUUGGUCCUCAGUUCAGAUUGUAGGCUGCAACCCGCCUGCAUGAAGAUGGAGUUGCUAGUAACCGCAGGUCAGCUAUACUGCGGUGAAUACGUUCCCGGGGCUU
This 215-nucleotide ribosomal RNA is filed under the name uncultured Leptolinea sp. Its description in RNAcentral is "partial 16S ribosomal RNA". It matches the Rfam family "Bacterial small subunit ribosomal RNA", at positions 1170 to 1382 of the family's 1533-position model. Lineage: Bacteria; Bacillati; Chloroflexota; Anaerolineae; Anaerolineales; Anaerolineaceae. The record is from RNAcentral.